This 522-nucleotide ribosomal RNA is filed under the name uncultured bacterium. RNAcentral describes it as "bacterial SSU rRNA". It matches the Rfam family "Archaeal small subunit ribosomal RNA", at positions 345 to 866 of the family's 1478-position model. The record is from RNAcentral.
AACCUCCGCAAUGUGAGAAAUCGCGACGGGGGGAUCCCAAGUGCCAUUCUUAACGGGAUGGCUUUUCAUUAGUGUAAAGAGCUUUUGGAAUAAGAGCUGGGCAAGACCGGUGCCAGCCGCCGCGGUAACACCGGCAGCUCUAGUGGUAACAAUUUUUAUUGGGCCUAAAGCGUCCGUAGCCGGUUUAAUAAGUCUCUGGUGAAAUCCUGCAGCUUAACUGUGGGAAUUGCUGGAGAUACUAUUAGACUUGAGACCGGGAGAGGUUAGAGGUACUCCCAGGGUAGAGGUGAAAUUCUGUAAUCCUGGGAGGACCGCCUGUUGCGAAGGCGUCUAACUGGAACGGUUCUGACGGUGAGGGACGAAAGUUAGGGGCGCGAAACCGGAUUAGAUACCCGGGUGGUCCUAACUGUAAACGAUGCGGACUUGGUGUUGGGGUGGCUUUGAGCUGCUUCAGUGCCGAAGGGAAGCUGUUAAGUCCGCCGCCUGGGAAGUACGGUCGCAAGACUGAAACUUAAAGGAAUU